AUGAUGACUGAACACUUCAUACAGCUAAGCACUCAUCAAGUGAUGAAACAUCAUCAGGGGAAUUCAGCAACAAAAGAAAGAAAACUCUACCAGCAAGUCCUUACUAGGUGACAAAUUUAUUAUACAGAAGACAUACACACCUCAAGUUCAGCUGUAUCAUCACCUGAUACAGAACUUGUUCAAAGCUAAUAGUUUGCUGUUAACAGAUAUGUAGGCUA
Long non-coding RNA from Lagopus muta (rock ptarmigan), 218 nucleotides. RefSeq lists it as uncharacterized. The record is from RefSeq and is a predicted model, not a curated record. NCBI's taxonomy places the organism in Eukaryota, Metazoa, Chordata, Aves, Galliformes, Phasianidae. The transcript has 3 exons.